GUCUAUGGUCAUACCACCCUGAACGUGCCCGAUCUUGGCUGAUCUCGGAAGGAUGGUUGUGCUAGGUUUUUAGUAGAUAUUAUUUAUCAACUGAAAAAAAAACUCCUUUUAACU
RNAcentral lists this ribosomal RNA (114 nucleotides) under Echinops telfairi (small Madagascar hedgehog). Lineage: Eukaryota; Metazoa; Chordata; Mammalia; Afrosoricida; Tenrecidae. The record is from RNAcentral.